AUGAUUACAGUUUAGAGGUGAAUAAUUUAACUCAAGACCUGAGAAUCAAUAUUGUCAAAAUUGACCUUAUAUAGCAAAAUCUGGGCCUGUUUGGUAUAGAUUUUCUCGAAUCUAUAUAU
Molecule: long non-coding RNA, 119 nt
Organism: Sapajus apella (tufted capuchin)
Lineage: Eukaryota; Metazoa; Chordata; Mammalia; Primates; Cebidae
Exons: 3
Source: RefSeq, a predicted model, not a curated record